AACGAACGCUGGCGGCAGGCUUAACACAUGCAAGUCGAGCGCCCCGCCAGGGGCGCGGCAGACGGGUGAGUAACGCGUGGGAACGUACCUUUUGGUUCGGAACAACUCCGGGAAACUGGAGCUAAUACCGGAUAAGCCCUAACGGGGAAAGAUUUAUCGCCGAAAGAUCGGCCCGCGUCUGAUUAGCUAGUUGGUGAGGUAACGGCUCACCAAGGCGACGAUCAGUAGCUGGUCUGAGAGGAUGAUCAGCCACACUGGGACUGGGACACGGCCCAGACUCCUACGGGAGGCAGCAGUGGGGAAUAUUGGACAAUGGGCGCAAGCCUGAUCCAGCCAUGCCGCGUGAGUGAUGAAGGCCUUAGGGUUGUAAAGCUCUUUUGUCCGGGAAGAUAAUGACUGUACCGGAAGAAUAAGCCCCGGCUAACUUCGUG
This 431-nucleotide ribosomal RNA is filed under the name uncultured bacterium. RNAcentral's name for it is "partial 16S ribosomal RNA". It matches the Rfam family "Bacterial small subunit ribosomal RNA", at positions 29 to 507 of the family's 1533-position model. The record is from RNAcentral.